RNAcentral lists this long non-coding RNA (628 nucleotides) under Linum usitatissimum (flax). RNAcentral describes it as "long non-coding RNA (LUSI_LNC002935)". The record is from RNAcentral. Lineage: Eukaryota; Viridiplantae; Streptophyta; Magnoliopsida; Malpighiales; Linaceae.
AAGGAGAAAAAACAGAAGGAAAAAAGGUAAACAAAACAUAGAACCCCUCUUUCUACUUAUGUUUUUUUUGUUUUUACUUCGAUCCGGCCUUGCAUGUCGCCUGCAAGUCCCGAUUCGUAGGUCUAAAGUUUGAGUUUUCGAUUUCUAUGGUCUUUUUCUGACUUGUUUUUUAAUUUCCUUUCUCUUUGUGGUUGGGAUUUGAUGGAGAAGAAAGAGAACUACGAUGGCUGCCGAUGAUAUGGCCGACGACAGCGGAGAGGUGGCGGACAAGGGGAUGGUGAGUUACAUAUAUAAUCUCUGUUUUAUUCUUCUUAGUUAAUUUAUUUCGAAAAUAGAAAGGAGACUGACUUUUUGGGUGUUAUUUUUAGGUAAAAACCUUUCAAAUUAAUCGGGAAAUCAGAAGGAAAGGGACCGAAUCGGUGGAGGAAAAAUAAUGUGACGUUGUAACUGUUAUUACGAAAUGAGGUGUUAUAAUUUUUUUAGGUGUUAACUUGUAUUUUGAUAGCUAAAGACUCAGCCGUUCCAAUAUUGAAAUAAGCCUAACAAACUUAACACCAUGAAAAUCAUUUAAAAAUUUGGAUUAUUUUACCUUUUUAAUGAAAUUCCAUCAACUUGUUUUAACCAGGAA